Non-coding RNA from Callorhinus ursinus (northern fur seal), 1088 nucleotides. The record is from RefSeq and is a predicted model, not a curated record. Lineage: Eukaryota; Metazoa; Chordata; Mammalia; Carnivora; Otariidae.
UGUAGCCAGAGCGCAGAAGCAUCCCUGACUCAGGCCUAACUAACACUCUGACCAGGUGCAGGGGCAAGAACUGAGUGUGCUGGGACAGAGAGUGGCCCACGAGGGGAGCUGGUCAAAGCUCAAGUCCUCAGAAGGAGAAAGAUAUCACCUGUGGGUAAGGACAGCCAGCUCAAGUCUCAGCAGGCAGGAGUGUGGUGAAGAACUUGGUUCUGAGCAGUGCCAGGAAGAUCUGAAGGUGCAGAAGCAGCAGGGCCAGCCCAGUCCAUGUCCUGCCCCAGUCCUGGAAGGAUAGAAGGAACAAGACCUAUACCCACUUGGCUGAGGUACCAUGGCCAGACUCUGCCUGAGCCUGCUGUUCCUGGUGGCCACUAUGACCCUUGUGUCCAGAGGUGUCCACACCGGGGGCAGGUCAAAGGUGGUGAGGAAGUUCCAAGACAUCCCAGAAAGUUAUGUCUAUGUGCAGCAGGCCCUGUGGUUUGCCAUGAAAGAGUAUAAUAAGACCAGCAAAGACAAGUACACCUUCAAGGUGGUAAAGGUCCUGAAAUCCCAGGAGCAGGUCACAGAGAGUUUGGACUACUUUCUUGAAGUCAAAAUUGCCCGAACAAUGUGCAAGAAAAUUUCAGGAGAAAAUGAAAACUGCUUAUUACAACAGGAUCCCCAAAUGCAAAAGCAACCAGAGGGCCCCUGUCAGGAGCCACAGUCAAGUCACUGGAAACCCCUAACCUCAACUCCUCAGCUUCCCACUUCCUGUCUGUCUCCCCUUGGCCAAACUCAACUGCAAGCCAGAGGGUGCCCAUUGAUGAGAUCUAUAAAAGUCACAGGGCAGAACGCCUAUUGACACAGACAGUGGAAGCUAUAGAGCAAGUGUGCUCAUUGGCAUAGCCCAUUGAAGUCAUUGGUCUUUCAAGACACUCCAGAUGUUUCUUUGCACAUUUAUUGUUGCAACCAAACCUUGGGAAUUUGAGUUCACUAUGCUGAAGAAACAAUGCGAAGAGGUCUAAUUAUCUUCUAGCAUGUUCGACUGUUUUCACUUCCAUUUUAAAGAAGCAAAUACACCUGCAAACCAUUUAAAUAAGCUGACCCACUGA